CCUACGGGAGGCAGCAGUGGGGAAUAUUGGACAAUGGGCGAAAGCCUGAUCCAGCAACGCCGCGUGAGGGAUGACGGCCUUCGGGUUGUAAACCUCUUUCAGUAGGGACGAAGCGCAAGUGACGGUACCUACAGAAGAAGCACCGGCCAACUACGUGCCAGCAGCCGCGGUAAU
Molecule: ribosomal RNA, 174 nt
Filed under: uncultured Nocardioides sp.
Lineage: Bacteria; Bacillati; Actinomycetota; Actinomycetes; Propionibacteriales; Nocardioidaceae
Description: partial 16S ribosomal RNA
Rfam family: Bacterial small subunit ribosomal RNA
Source: RNAcentral